AUGGCGCCGGCUUCGUCCUUCCCGAUCAUCGACAUGGGGCUGCUGGCCGGGGAGGAGAGGCCCGUGGCGAUGGACCUGCUGCAUGACGCAUGCGUGAACUGGGGAUUCUUCCAGGUUCUGGACCACGGCAUCUCAACGGAGCUGAUGGACGAGGUGGAGAAGAUGACCAAGGAGCACUACAAGAGGGUGCGCGAGCAGAGGUUCCUCGAGUUCGCCAGCAAGACGCUGGAGGGCGGCGGCAGGGCGGCGGAGAACCUGGACUGGGAGAGCACCUUCUUCGUGCGCCACCUCCCGGAGGCCAACAUCGCCGAGAUACCCGACCUCGACGACGACUACAGGCGGGUGAUGAAGCAGUUCGCGGCGGAGCUGGAGAGGCUGGCGGAGCGGCUGCUGGACCUGCUCUGCGAGAACCUCGGCCUGGAGAAGGGGUACCUCACGCGGGCGUUCCGGGGCUCCAAGGGCGUCCCCACCUUCGGCACCAAGGUCAGCAGCUACCCGCCGUGCCCGCGCCCGGACCUCGUCAAGGGCCUCCGCGCGCACACCGACGCCGGCGGCAUCAUCCUGCUCUUCCAGGACGACUGCGUCGGCGGGCUCCAGCUCCUCAAGGACGGCGAGUGGGUGGACGUGCCGCCCACGCGCCACUCCAUCGUCGUCAACCUGGGCGACCAGCUGGAGGUGAUCACCAACGGCAGGUACAAGAGCGUGCUCCACCGCGUGGUCGCGCAGGCCGACGGCAACCGGAUGUCCAUCGCCUCCUUCUACAACCCGGCCAGCGACGCGGUCAUCUUCCCGGCGCCGGCGCUGGCGGAGGCGGCCGGCGGUGCGUACCCCAGGUUCGUGUUCGAGGACUACAUGAAGCUGUACGUGCGCCACAAGUUCGAUGACAAGGAGCCCAGGUUCGAGGCCUUCAAGUCCAUGGAGAGCCAGAGCACCAAGCUCAUCGCCACCGCUUGA
RNAcentral lists this ribosomal RNA (954 nucleotides) under Triticum aestivum (bread wheat). RNAcentral's name for it is "partial small subunit ribosomal RNA". The record is from RNAcentral. Lineage: Eukaryota; Viridiplantae; Streptophyta; Magnoliopsida; Poales; Poaceae.